RNAcentral lists this ribosomal RNA (408 nucleotides) under Triticum aestivum (bread wheat). RNAcentral's name for it is "partial small subunit ribosomal RNA". The record is from RNAcentral. Lineage: Eukaryota; Viridiplantae; Streptophyta; Magnoliopsida; Poales; Poaceae.
AUGGUAGACUAUCUGACUCUAGAUGUUCACAGGUUCCUUACUAGUCCCACUCACCACAGAGACGAACCACAAACAAAUAUGAGAACAACAGUAAUAUGGCAGUACCGGGAAACAACUCAAACAAGGUAUCCAACUCAGAUCUAUUUGUCUAGUCGAUACAAACAUGAAAUAACGAGAGCUUGGUUGAAUCACCACCUUUCGUCAGCACUUACAUGCCAAUUAAUGCAAUUAAUUAGUACCUCAUGGUCUGAAUUUCAGACUCUCAAAGGCCCAAACCUCGCUGUAUCCGUACCUGGUUUGCCGCACGGUCCAAAUCACUUGCCGUUGAAGCUGUCGUAUCGCCGUCGUCGUCACCGCCCUCGUUGUCCUUGUAUGCACCUCGGAGUCGAUGGCUACGUCGGGAAUUGA